CAGUAGCCACGGUAAUACGGAGGGAGCUAGCGUUGUUCGGAAUUACUGGGCGUAAAGCGCACGUAGGCGGCUUUGUAAGUCAGAGGUGAAAGCCUGGAGCUCAACUCCAGAACUGCCUUUGAGACUGCAUCGCUUGAAUCCAGGAGAGGUGAGUGGAAUUCCGAGUGUAGAGGUGAAGUUCGUAGAUAUUCGGAAGAACACCAGUGGCGAAGGCGGCUCACUGGACUGGUAUUGACGCUGAGGUGCGAAAGCGUGGGGAGCAAACAGGAUUAGAUACCCCAGUAGUCCCUGUCUCUUAUAC
Molecule: ribosomal RNA, 301 nt
Filed under: uncultured bacterium
Lineage: Bacteria
Description: partial 16S ribosomal RNA
Rfam family: Bacterial small subunit ribosomal RNA
Source: RNAcentral